CCUACGGGAGGCAGCAGUGGGGAAUAUUGCACAAUGGGGGAAACCCUGAUGCAGCGACGCCGCGUGAGUGAAGAAGUAAUUCGUUGUGUAAAGCUCUAUCAGCAGGGAAGAAAAUGACGGUACCUGAGUAAGAAGCCCCGGCUAACUACGUGCCAGCAGCCGCGGUAAUACGUAGGGGGCAAGCGUUAUCCGGAUUUACUGGGUGUAAAGGGAGCGUAGACGGCAUUGCAAGUCUGUAGUGAAAGGCGGGGGCUCAACCCCCAGAUUGCUAUUGAAACUGUACGGCUUGAGUGCAGGUGAGGUAAGUGGAAUUCCUAGUGUAGCGGUGAAAUGCGUAGAUAUUAGGAGGAACACCAGUGGCGAAGGCAGCUUACUGGACUGCAACUGACGUUGAGGCUCGAAAGCGUGGGGAUCAAACAGGAUUAGAUACCCCUGUAGUC
This 440-nucleotide ribosomal RNA is filed under the name uncultured bacterium. Its description in RNAcentral is "partial 16S ribosomal RNA". It matches the Rfam family "Bacterial small subunit ribosomal RNA", at positions 338 to 795 of the family's 1533-position model. The record is from RNAcentral.